This 335-nucleotide long non-coding RNA is filed under the name Homo sapiens (human). RNAcentral's name for it is "non-protein coding lnc-GNAO1-1:5". The record is from RNAcentral. Lineage: Eukaryota; Metazoa; Chordata; Mammalia; Primates; Hominidae.
CUAUCAAUCCCAAAGUCCUUAGGUCUUCAGCAAAGCUUGGACCACUUGGCAAAGUCUUCUGUCUCCAGAGGAAUGAUGGGAAAACUAUGGGACAAAAGUCAGGAGAGUGGUGCUGGCUGAUCCUGGCCUGGACAUUGACUCCCUGGGGACUUUGGUGCUCUCUCGUGCUCUCUCUGUCUCCAGUGAUAAGCUGACCAGAUGCCUUGAAUUAAGUACAGGGUCACCAACAUCUCUAAUAGAAUCCAACUGUGGAAUAGAAAAACUAUUUCGUCUAAGAAGUGGAUCCUAGCUGUCAAAUAAAAAAUCGCUGUUGAAUGCUGUAAAGUACAUUUUUA